RNAcentral lists this long non-coding RNA (1325 nucleotides) under Homo sapiens (human). Its description in RNAcentral is "HSALNT0253215". Lineage: Eukaryota; Metazoa; Chordata; Mammalia; Primates; Hominidae. The record is from RNAcentral.
CCGCGCUGCACGUGCAGGGACCGGUAGGCGCCGGGGUCAGCGCCAGCGUUUGAUGUGCGGCGGGGAGCGGGCCGAGCCCCGGGAGGCCGCUUCGCACCUCCCAGUGUGUCCGGGUUGAGCGCGAGGUCAGGAGGGGACGCAGAGUUCACGGCGAAGACGGAUCGCGGGGGCUCGUCCCGCCCGGGUUGCGCGCAGCGGGGGCCGCGUGAUGGAUGGGCCGGGCCGGGCACCCGGGAACCCGCGAGCGCGGGGCUGGGCUCUGGGCUGCGUCCGGGGGCCCCGACUUGGUUAUUGAUCGGCCCAAGCGCAGGAGAACUGACUCUAUAAUGCAUCGCCUGACCAGGAAAAGUGUUUGCUUUUGUGGGAGCAAAAGACAACUUUCUGCCCCGCCAGAGCGUUGCUAAGUGAGCGGUAAUGACCACGCUAGAAAUUUCAUAGGGAGAGGCUAAUGGCAGGCUGACUCUAAAAGUGCUUUUAAGUGCAACUUCUGUCUAAUCCCUUGAGGGGGAAGAAAACAUCGGCGACUAAGAAAGUUCAAGUUGUACAGGACCCGGGUUUUUGGGGUCGGGGUCACUUCUGCUCUGCGUGACUUUGAAGAGGAAGACCUGCGGUUUUUUCCAGUGGAUUUUCACACGUGUUUUAAAGAGAACUCCCGGCUCCUGAAAUGAAAGGCCCGCCUGUAGGGUUUUGCUGCCUCCCCUCUGCCCACGCCCCACCCCCACAGCCUGGAUCAAAGCGAUCAGACAAAUUAUUCAGAAGUAACACAGCCCUGAAAUGUUCCUAAACGUGACUAUUUGAGGCGAUGAAUCAAGCGUGUUCCCUCCGCCCCCAACCCACCCCCAGACCGAAAAUGUGACUCUGGAAACGGACUUGCAGAGCUGGCUUCGGUUUAUAUGCGGUUCUGACCCCUGUUGACUUUAGGACAAGCCUUCCUGUUUCCAGUACUGCAGCAUCGCCAGACAGCCUCGCCAUGCAAUCGGCUUUCCAGAUACGAUUUCACUCCUCACCAAAGACACUUCUUUAGGGCGAUUUUAGGAUUCUAUCAACGCUAGUAAAGGAACUACUUAAACACGUUGAUUUGUAUCGCCUUCCCUGACUAUGAAACAUUGAAGUGGAAUACUACUCAUCAAUAAAAAAAAUAUAAACUCCUGAUACACCUCAUGGAUGGAUGCAUAGAUGGAUGGAUGGAUCUGAAAAACAUCGUGCUGAAUAAAAGAAGCCAGACAUGAAAGAAAUGUUGUCCAUAUUGCAUAAAGUUGUGUCAUUUCCUACUCAAACAAAGACUAUCUACCUGAAUGCUUGCAACACGACAAGAAUAAUAACAG